AAGUCGUAACAAGGUUUCCGUAGGUGAACCUGCGGAAGGAUCAUUGCCACACACGAUCCAAGAUCGACACUUUAUUGUGAACUGUUAAAUGUUUUGAUUGAUAAUUGUUUAUGUUUGUUGAAGAUAUUUUUGCUUGCAAUAUGUCUCUUCAAUCGUAAUACAUUUGUCAGUUUUAAAUUAUUACACCAUUAACCCAAACAUGAAUUAUACAUUGGAACAUAAAUGUUAUACCAAGUUCGUCUUGAUAUAACGCUAGAUUGAUAAUUGUAAAAACAACUUUUAACAACGGAUAUCUAGGUUCUU
RNAcentral lists this unclassified non-coding RNA (303 nucleotides) under fungal sp. Its description in RNAcentral is "partial internal transcribed spacer region". The stretch from base 1 to 46 matches the Rfam family "Eukaryotic small subunit ribosomal RNA", at positions 1786 to 1831 of the family's 1831-position model. Lineage: Eukaryota; Fungi. The record is from RNAcentral.